Molecule: ribosomal RNA, 490 nt
Filed under: uncultured bacterium
Lineage: Bacteria
Description: partial 16S ribosomal RNA
Rfam family: Bacterial small subunit ribosomal RNA
Source: RNAcentral
AUUGAACGCUGGCGGCAGGCCUAACACAUGCAAGUCGAACGGUAACAGGAAGAAGCUUGCUUCUUUGCUGACGAGUGGCGGACGGGUGAGUCAUGUCUGGGAAACAGCCUGAUGGAGGGGGAUAACUACUGGAAACGGUAGCUAAAACCGCAUAACGUCGCAAGACCAAAGAGGGGGACCUUCGGGCCUCUUGCCAUCGGCUGUGCCCAGAUGGGAUUAGCUAGUAGGUGGGGUAACGGCUAACCUAGGCGACGAUCCCUAGCUGGUCUGAGAGGAUGACCAGCCACACUGGAACUGAGACACGGUCCAGACUCCUACGGGAGGCAGCAGUGGGGAAUAUUGCGCAAUGGGCGCAAGCCUGAUGCAGCCAUGCCGCGUGUAUGAAGAAGGCCUUCGGGUUGUAAAGUACUUUCAGCGGGGAGGAAGGGAGUAAAGUUAAUACCUUCGCUCAUUGACGUUACCCACAGAAGAAGCCCCGGCUAACUCCGUG